GAUGAACGCUGGCGGUGUGCCUAAUACAUGCAAGUCGAGCGAACAGACGAGGAGCUUACUCCUCUGACGUUAGCGGCGGACGGGUGAGUAACACGUGGAUAACCUACCUAUAAGACUGGGAUAACUUCGGGAAACCGGAGCUAAUACCGGAUAACAUGUUGAACCGCAUGGUUCAACAGUGAAAGACGGUCUUGCUGUCACUUAUAGAUGGAUCCGCGUCGCAUUAGCUAGUUGGUAAGGUAACGGCUUACCAAGGCGACGAUGCGUAGCCGACCUGAGAGGGUGAUCGGCCACACUGGAACUGAGACACGGUCCAGACUCCUACGGGAGGCAGCAGUAGGGAAUCUUCCGCAAUGGGCGAAAGCCUGACGGAGCAACGCCGCGUGAGUGAAGAAGGUCUUCGGAUCGUAAAACUCUGUUAUUAGGGAAGAACAAAUGUGUAAGUAACUAUGCACGUCUUGACGGUACCUAAUCAGAAAGCCACGGCUAACUACGUG
RNAcentral lists this ribosomal RNA (497 nucleotides) under uncultured bacterium. Its description in RNAcentral is "partial 16S ribosomal RNA". It matches the Rfam family "Bacterial small subunit ribosomal RNA", at positions 28 to 507 of the family's 1533-position model. The record is from RNAcentral.